Molecule: ribosomal RNA, 253 nt
Filed under: uncultured bacterium
Lineage: Bacteria
Description: partial 16S ribosomal RNA
Rfam family: Bacterial small subunit ribosomal RNA
Source: RNAcentral
UACAGAGGGUGCGAGCGUUGUUCGGAAUCACUGGGCGUAAAGGGUGCGUAGGCGGGUCUUUAAGUCAGGGGUGAAAUCCUGGAGCUCAACUCCAGAACUGCCUUUGAUACUGAAGAUCUUGAGUUCGGGAGAGGUGAGUGGAACUGCGAGUGUAGAGGUGAAAUUCGUAGAUAUUCGCAAGAACACCAGUGGCGAAGGCGGCUCACUGGCCCGAUACUGACGCUGAGGCACGAAAGCGUGGGGAGCAAACAGG